UUCAGUCAGGCAUCCUUGCACCAAACAAGCUCGUCUGCUCCCUCCCCUGUGGGUUUGAAUUAGUCCCACUUUACAUUAGUUUCAAACACCUGUAACUACAGUUCCAUGACAAUUUAAGCGGCCCUUUAACCCUACGCUCUCCCACAAACCAAACGUGCAUUCCUGCUCCCCCCUUUCCACUGGCUUUUGCUGUUAUCAGAUCUUGUGGUGGGCCCAGUCAGGGAGCUGAAAUGGUAGGAAAAUAAUCUAACUAAAGUGAAUAUUUGCUUUACCACUGGACAAGUUGAGAACAAUUAAGUAUAUCUUGAAUAAUUCUGAGCUCAACAGGGCAUGAGUGGUACUUCUGUAUGAUAAAAGCAUAGGAAAUCCUUAACUGUUAUUCUGUAUGGUUAGUGUCAAAGUAAUCUUACAUAUUUUUAUACAUACAUUGCAUUGAAGAGGGCAUUCUUAAACAUGUAGCUUUUGAAAAUUUUACUUAAGUAGACUGAAAAAUUGAUUAAAGAGGUGAAUGGACAUGGAGAUUUUUAACUGUAGAUUUAAACCUAGCUCUGACCAGAUGUAUCCCACUCUUUUGCAUAGUCUAGUGGCCUGAUGGUAAAGCUCAUCCACGUUUAUUAGCUGUCUUGUUGGAAUCUAAGCGAAGAAAUCAAAGUCCAAAUAUAUCCAACGUGAACUGAUAUAUCCCUGCAGAGGCACCUUCGCUGGUUAUAAUGAGAAGGAAAAACCGAAUGCAAACUGCCUGGGGGUGCAUUGCCCAACGCUGGGAGCUGCUGUAGUUAUGGCUGGAGGCCACCAACACAACUGCUCCUCUUCUCCUGCUCAGGCUCAAUGCUCAUUGCCAUCCUGGGAUGCUCUGGGGGAGAAGAAGCCUUCCUGGUGUAUUUUCCUGCCUGGCAAACCCUUGUUUACGAACUGGAGAGCAAAGAAAACCCUGAAGGAUAAAAAUUGUGAAAAAUGGAGAGCCUGCUGCUGUUACCUCAAACCUCACCUCAGACAGCGUACAGGGCAGGUAAGUCGCUGUUUACACAAUGUGAUCUCGGGUUUUUGGUUGGUUUCUGGGUUCGUUUGGUUUGGUGGUUUUUUUUCCCGAAAUGUUUUUAUUGUUUCCAAAUAAAAUAACCGUUCUGGCCAUUCUUGCAGCAUCUCUGCCGUGGGGUUCAGUUGUGGCUGUAAGGUAGGAGCUGGGAAAUUGUGUUUUUCAUUUUGUUGAGGUCUUGUUUAUUUUCCACUACUAUCUGAUAUGGUUAAGAUGCAAGUCCUUAUGUGAAUCUUGGUGAAAAAAAGCAGUAAUUUAGCUUAAAACUACAGGAAAAUAAAUUCCAGAAUGACAUUCUUUUCCGGUCUCUC
This 1347-nucleotide long non-coding RNA is filed under the name Calidris pygmaea (Spoon-billed sandpiper). RNAcentral describes it as "lncRNA (ENSCPGG00000010849.1)". The record is from RNAcentral. Lineage: Eukaryota; Metazoa; Chordata; Aves; Charadriiformes; Scolopacidae.